RNAcentral lists this transfer RNA (77 nucleotides) under Escherichia phage T5. Its description in RNAcentral is "tRNA-Glu". The record is from RNAcentral. Lineage: Duplodnaviria; Heunggongvirae; Uroviricota; Caudoviricetes; Demerecviridae.
AGGACGCCAAUUAACAAUUGGGGUACGCAUAGGUUGCAAAUGGGCCUCCAAAACCCAUGAAAAGGUUUCGAAUACCU